AGAUUGAACGCUGGCGGCAGGCCUAACACAUGCAAGUCGGGCGGUAACAGGAGAAAGCUUGCUUUCUUGCUGACGAGCGGCGGACGGGUGAGUAAUGUAUGGGGAUCUGCCCGAUAGAGGGGGAUAACUACUGGAAACGGUGGCUAAUACCGCAUGACGUCUACGGACCAAAGCAGGGGGCUCUUCGGACCUUGCGCUAUCGGAUGAACCCAUAUGGGAUUAGCUAGUAGGUGGGGUAAUGGCUCACCUAGGCGACGAUCUCUAGCUGGUCUGAGAGGAUGAUCAGCCACACUGGGACUGAGACACGGCCCAGACUCCUACGGGAGGCAGCAGUGGGGAAUAUUGCACAAUGGGCGCAAGCCUGAUGCAGCCAUGCCGCGUGUAUGAAGAAGGCCUUAGGGUUGUAAAGUACUUUCAGCGGGGAGGAAGGUGAUAAGGUUAAUACCCUUA
This 450-nucleotide ribosomal RNA is filed under the name Shigella sp. FC1967. RNAcentral's name for it is "bacterial SSU rRNA". It matches the Rfam family "Bacterial small subunit ribosomal RNA", at positions 26 to 471 of the family's 1533-position model. Lineage: Bacteria; Pseudomonadati; Pseudomonadota; Gammaproteobacteria; Enterobacterales; Enterobacteriaceae. The record is from RNAcentral.